UACGGAGGGUGCAAGCGUUAAUCGGAAUUACUGGGCGUAAAGCGCACGUAGGUGGCUGAGUCAGUCGAUUGUGAAAGCCCUGGGCUUAACCUGGGAAUUGCAGUCGAUACUACUCAGCUAGAGUAUGGGAGAGGGUAGUGGAAUUCCCGGUGUAGCGGUGAAAUGCGUAGAUAUCGGGAGGAACAUCAGUGGCGAAGGCGGCUACCUGGCCCAAUACUGACACUCAGGUGCGACAGCGUGGGGAGCAAACGGG
This 253-nucleotide ribosomal RNA is filed under the name uncultured bacterium. RNAcentral's name for it is "partial 16S ribosomal RNA". It matches the Rfam family "Bacterial small subunit ribosomal RNA", at positions 524 to 776 of the family's 1533-position model. The record is from RNAcentral.